GAAAUGGGUGUACAGCUCCCUUCUCAGAUGGGGGUUGGAGGGUUGGAGGUAAUGUUAUGCGGAAGUUUUUUUUACACUGCUGAAUGGUGUAGAGAUGUUGGUUAUUCUUGCAAAAAUCAAUUGCUCUCAGCACUUGUCCCUCCAGUCUUUCAUUCUUUCCUUUCUCCCUUGUUUUCUCAGAUUCCUAUUCUAUCUUUGCCUCUGCCGAAAGCCCGCCCGUGUCCUCUGUGGUACUCAUCUUUCUGCCCCAGAGUUGUCUUAAGCGGGGUGAAUUCAUCCUCCCCAAAUUCUUGUCUGUUUCUUAAGAACUCUAAAAAUGCAACCGGAUGGACUACUGCUUGUUGAUACAGUGAACUGGAUGUGAAUUUCAAAUAGUGAUUGUUUGCUUCGAUUUUGUUUACUCCUUAAUCUUCUGGGGUCAGGUUAACCAAGCUUCUCUCUAUCAAAGACAAACUCCUUGCUUGAAGUUUUGAGGAAUCUUCCCCAGAAACCACAACUGUGGUGGCAGGGACCACAUCCCCUGCAUGGAACGUCCCUGGAUGUUGCGGCAUGGCAGGCACCAACCAUUUCCUCACAGUGCCUCUUGUUCUUUUCAAUUGCCUCUUCGUGUACUUUUUCUUUCCAUUUAGGCAAUUUGAAGUAGAAGCAUGCGCCACUCUGCAUAAUAAUGUAUUAUAAAGGCAUUUCAAGGAAUGAGUUAUUAGAAUUGUUUACAUGCAUGGUUCAAAUUUACUGGCAAAUUGCUAGGGCCUCGGUUUUAUGAUGGAGCUGCCAGCCAGGCUCCUUCUGGAUAAAACUCUGAAACAGGAGAAGUUGCCCUUUGCUAUGGCUCACCAGCACUCUCUCUGCCCUGUUCCUGCCUUUUCAGCACCUCCCUCCUUGCCCGCCCCCAAAUACCUCUGUGCGGCUCUCAGGCCUUUUGGACCUUCGUGGGAAGAUACUCUGUGGGUCCUUCCCAGGCCCAUCCCCAUCAAAGUUCCUGGACUGCCGGGGAAGGGAGUCGGAGCUCCUGCAGCAGAGGGCGGAGCAGCCACAAGAAAAUGCAAAACAGGCCAAGAAUAACAGGGCUUUCCAGAUGAGGGGCAUGCUAGAGCCAGCAUCACCACUGGGGUAGGGUAUCUCAUUCUUAGUUUUACAACCUAAAA
RNAcentral lists this long non-coding RNA (1145 nucleotides) under Heterocephalus glaber (naked mole-rat). RNAcentral's name for it is "lncRNA (ENSHGLG00100033815.1)". The record is from RNAcentral. Lineage: Eukaryota; Metazoa; Chordata; Mammalia; Rodentia; Bathyergidae.